AGAAAGGGAACAGCAGCUGAGCUGAGCAGCACAUGCUUGGAGCGUUCCUGCCAUCGACUUCGGAUUAUUUCUGCUUUCUUGAGACACAGCCAUCAGCAUGGGACUCGAUGCAGCCCGGAGAGAGCACCGCCCGCGCAGCGACGCGCACAGACCCUCCCUUGGAGACGCGCUCCCCGGCGCGUGCGGCCGAGCCCGCGUGAAAUGCACAGACCCUCCGGUGAGGCUCUGCCCACGUGUGACCCUGAGCACUGCGAAGCCCUUCCCUUCCAUCCUCGCGUGGCCACCCAAAGUCUUGCCUACACCUCGUACGUGCAGAUGCCAAUUCCAUAGAAAUACAUGAUGUAAGGACAGAAAUGGGAA
Long non-coding RNA from Homo sapiens (human), 360 nucleotides. The record is from Ensembl. NCBI's taxonomy places the organism in Eukaryota, Metazoa, Chordata, Mammalia, Primates, Hominidae.